GGCGCUGAGGCGGCGGGGGGGCGGGGGAAGCGGGGGGCGGGGGGGGUGGGGGAGGCCACGGCCGCUGCGGCCGGGCGGAAGCUUUCCCGCACGCGCGACGUCGGCUUGUGCACGAAAUGCUGCGCGCUUGCCUUCCCUAGCGAGCUCGUUGUGAUAGGCAUUUAUUUUCUAUUUUUUUUGGAGGGGGGGUUUUUUAUUUUUUUCUGCCGUUUUACUGAAUAUUUUCAGCGUUUGGUUCAUGGAAACGAGGGGUUGUUUGUGUUUUCUUUUUUUUUUUUCCAUCUUAAGAGUUUUUUUCCCAUUUUAAGACAGUUUUUUUCCCAUCUUAAGAGCUUUUUUCCCAUCUUAAGAGAGUUUUUUUCCCAUCUUAAGACAGUUUUUUUCCCAUCUUAAGAGCUUUUUGCCCAUCUUAAGAGAGUUUUUUUCCCAUUUUAAGAAAGUUUUUUCCCAUCUUAAGAGUUUUUUUCCCAACUUAAGACAGUUUUUUCCCAUCUUAAGAGUUUUUUUUCCAUCUUAAGAGGUUUUUUCCAUCUUAAGAGGUCUUCUUUCCAUCUUAAGACAGUUUUUUUCCCAUCUUAAGAGUUUUUUCCAUCUUAAGAGAGUUUUUUUCCCAUCUUAAGACUUUUUUUCCCAUUUUAAGAGAGUUUUUUCCCAUCUUAAGAGUUUUUUUCCCAUCUUAAGACAGUUUUUUUCCCAUCUUAAGAGCUUUUUUCCCAUCUUAAGAGUUUUUUUCCCAUCUUAAAGAGUUUUUUUCCAUCUUAAGAGAGGUUUUUUCCCAUCUUAAGAGAGGUUUUUUCCCAUCUUAAGAGUUUUUUUUCCAUCUUAAGAGCUUUUUCCAUCUUAAGAGGUUUUUUUUCCAUCUUAAGACAGUUUUUUUUCCAUCUUAAGAGAGUUUUUUUCCCAUCUUAAGAGCUUUUUUCCCAUCUUUAGAGGUUUUUUUUCCCAUCUUGAGAGGUUUUUUUCCCAUCUUAAGAGAGUUUUUGGGGUUUUUUUUGGGCUUUUAUUUUGAUUUUUUUUUACGGGGCUGAAACGUGCCGGCGAAACGCACCCAUUAAAACCACAAAAAAAUAAACGCAAAAAAAAAAAGAAAAACUUAAAAACCCCCCCCCAAACCCCCCCCGCCAGACCCGCCCAAGCGCCCGCCCGCCGCCGCGGGGGGCUGGGGGGGAGGCGGCGGCUGCGCCAGGAACGGGGCCGGAGGCUUCGCGCGCUUCCCACGGCGCGGCGCCGCUUGGUGCGGUUUUGGUUUAGUUGGGAUUUAUUUUUUAUUUUAUUGUGGUUUUUUUUCCCCCCCCCUCCCUAAUUUUUAGCGACGCGGUCUUUGUCGCCGCUUUACGGCUGUUACGUUGUGUUAUAAGGGGGGGAAAGCAUAAAAAAACCCCCACCCCCCCCCGAAAACCCCAAAGUUGCAGGCUGAACACUUUCAACGGCCACUUUUUCCGGCAGGGGGUAUAAUAUUUUUUGUUAAUGAGUGUAUCUUGGGUUUAAAAAAUAAUUAUAAUAAAAAAAAAACACAAAACAGCAAAAAAAAAAAAAAAAAAGAAAAAAAGAAAAACCCCUUUCAGCACUUUAAUGGCAAAUUAAUUGAGAAUGUAAGACGAAUGAUCUUGUAAAAUGCAAAUAAAAAUGUUUAUUAACCGUCA
Molecule: non-coding RNA, 1643 nt
Organism: Phalacrocorax carbo (great cormorant)
Lineage: Eukaryota; Metazoa; Chordata; Aves; Suliformes; Phalacrocoracidae
Source: RefSeq, a predicted model, not a curated record